Molecule: non-coding RNA, 148 nt
Filed under: Homo sapiens (human)
Lineage: Eukaryota; Metazoa; Chordata; Mammalia; Primates; Hominidae
Source: Rfam by way of RNAcentral
GCCGGGCGUGGUGGCGCACGCCUGUAGUCCCAGCUACUUGGGAAGCUGAGGCAGAAGAAUCGCUUGAACCCAGGAGGCAGAGGUUGCAGUGAGCUGAGAUCACACCACUGCACUCCAGCCUGGGUGACAGAGUGAGACUUAGUCUCAA